This 520-nucleotide ribosomal RNA is filed under the name uncultured Glomus. RNAcentral's name for it is "SSU rRNA". It matches the Rfam family "Eukaryotic small subunit ribosomal RNA", at positions 569 to 1091 of the family's 1831-position model. Lineage: Eukaryota; Fungi; Glomeromycota; Glomeromycetes; Glomerales; Glomeraceae. The record is from RNAcentral.
CGCAGCCGCAGUAAUUCCAGCUCCAAUAGCGUAUAUUAAAGUUGUUGCAGUUAAAAAGCUCGUAGUUGAAUUUCGGGGUCAGUAGGUCGGUCGUGCCACCGGUAUGUACUGGUCUCACUGAUUCCUCCUUCCUGAUGAGCCGUAAUGCCAUUAAUUUGGUGUUGCGGGGAAUUUGGACUGUUACUUUGAAAAAAUUAGAGUGUUUAAAGCAAGCUAACGCUUGAAUACAUUAGCAUGGAAUAAUGAAAUAGGACGUUCGAUCCUAUUUUGUUGGUUUCUAGGAUCAACGUAAUGAUUAAUAGGGAUAGUUGGGGGCAUUAGUAUUCAAUUGUCAGAGUGAAAUUCUUGGAUUUAUUGAAGACUAACUACUGCGAAAGCAUUUGCCAAGGAUGUUUUCAUUAAUCAAGAACGAAAGUUAGGGAUCGAAGACGAUCAGAUACCGUCGUAGUCUUAACCAUAAACUAUGACCGACUAGGGAUCGGAUGAUGUUAUUUUUAAUGUACUUCAUUCGGCGCCGUUA